RNAcentral lists this unclassified non-coding RNA (417 nucleotides) under Hevea brasiliensis (rubber tree). Lineage: Eukaryota; Viridiplantae; Streptophyta; Magnoliopsida; Malpighiales; Euphorbiaceae. The record is from RNAcentral.
AGUGGGCAUUUGGACCAUAUUUCCCUAUGCUGUGGCUGUUUUGACGGCAUUAUUCCUUUACAUGCAACGUUGCUACUCUACCUAGUAAUUUGUUGGUUAACUCAAUACUCAGAAAUUUGAAAAAGAGUAAGAAGCUAUCAAAUUUAUAUGUGUAACCGUACUACAGCCAAUUGUAUCCUGGGUGGUUUUGCAAUGUUUGUCGAAAAUCAUCUCAUAGUUGUCUAUUCUUUACUUUUUCUUUGCAUGUUAGAUGUAAAGUUGCCUUCGUAUUUUUUCUUCAGGAAGAAUGAUUUGUAUUUAUUUAAUGUAUCAACUCUAGCAAAGUAUAGUGUGCAGUCUCUGUUGAGUUGGAUAUUCUUAUCAUUGUGAAUGGCUACUUCAUUUCAUAUUAAAGAUGAUUUAUUGUAGCAAGAACAA